GAGCGGGAUUCACUUUCGGGUGAUGAGAGCGGCGCACGGGUGCGUAACGCGUAUGCAACCUACCUCUAACAGGGGGAUAGCCCGGAGAAAUCCGGAUUAAUACCCCAUAGUAUUAUUUGAAGGCAUCUUUAAAUAAUUAAAGUUCCGGCGGUUAGAGAUGGGCAUGCGUGACAUUAGUUAGUUGGCGAGGUAACGGCUCACCAAGACUACGAUGUCUAGGGGUUCUGAGAGGAUGAUCCCCCACACUGGUACUGAGACACGGACCAGACUCCUACGGGAGGCAGCAGUGAGGAAUAUUGGUCAAUGGGCGCAAGCCUGAACCAGCCAUCCCGCGUGAAGGAUGACUGCCCUAUGGGUUGUAAACUUCUUUUGUACACCAAGAAUGGUUACUACGUGUAGUGAUUUGACGGUAGUGUAUGAAUAAGCAUCGGCUAACUCCGUGCCAGCAGCCGCGGUAAUACGGAGGAUGCAAGCGUUAUCCGGAUUCAUUGGGUUUAAAGGGUACGUAGGUGGCCCAAUAAGUCAGUGGUGAAAGUUUGCCGCUUAACGGUAAAAUUGCCAUUGAUACUGUUGGGCUUGAGUACAGUUGAGGUAGGCGGA
This 600-nucleotide ribosomal RNA is filed under the name Mangrovibacterium sp. Its description in RNAcentral is "bacterial SSU rRNA". It matches the Rfam family "Bacterial small subunit ribosomal RNA", at positions 64 to 665 of the family's 1533-position model. Lineage: Bacteria; Pseudomonadati; Bacteroidota; Bacteroidia; Marinilabiliales; Prolixibacteraceae. The record is from RNAcentral.